CUAAGAGGUACAUAUAGACGUUGCAAUACAGAUACACAAGAUCAAAGAACGAGAAUCUAUCAUAAUCAGAGAGCAGAAAAAUCAUAUCACGCAACACACACACACACACCAACGUCCAGGAAAAAUCAGAUCAGGCACCACUGCUAGAAACAACUAUCUGUCAAUAGCUAUGGUCUGCAGCUACACCAUGACGGCCGAGUUCGCGAGGUUGCACUUUGAGCGCCUUCAGAAAUAACAGAUCGUUAAGAGGCAUAGGAAGGAGGAGCUGCCGCUAGCAGGUGAGGCCGGAAGGCCGCCGCCGGCCAGCCACGAGCCACUGCUCCACUCCUCCUUAGCCGCUGCCCGCAGCAAGCAGCUAUGGUCUCUCAGAUGUGUCCGCGACGGGAUGACCGCUCAUCGUUCUUUGCCUGGAUGUGUGCGCGGCGGGAUGGCCGGCUGUGAGGAAGAAAGACGAGUGAGAGGAGAGGCGACGGGGAGGUGAGGGACAGCCGGCGCUGGGUCGGGGGAGUGUGGCGGCGCUGGGAUUUGGAGGGUGCGCGUGAGUCGGGGAGGGGGAAGAGGCGCAGGGUCCGCUCGUUCCGCGUGGUCCGGUCGAUUUGAAGGUAUG
RNAcentral lists this ribosomal RNA (607 nucleotides) under Triticum aestivum (bread wheat). RNAcentral describes it as "partial small subunit ribosomal RNA". The record is from RNAcentral. Lineage: Eukaryota; Viridiplantae; Streptophyta; Magnoliopsida; Poales; Poaceae.